UCCGCUCGGCCGCGUGUGCGUUACGAUUCGCGAAUGAUUACGACGGGCGUGCACGCGGACCGCGGCAAAACGCGGCUUGUCGUCGGCGGUGUCGUCGCUUCGCCGCCCGGAGACGAUCCCGUGCCGUCGUCGUCGUCGUCGUCGUCGUCGUCGUCGUCGUCAUCGUCGUCGUACGCGCUCUGACGCGAGAGAGAAUUCGCGGCGCUCGCUCGCGACAGUGUGAACGAACACGCGCGUUGCAUUAUGCCGAGCCGUCGACGGUAGUCGGCACGUGUGUGCUUGCGAGCGAGAGACAAAGAAAGACUGCGAGAGAGAGAGAGAGAGAGGAGGGGAGAGAGAGAGAGAGAGAGAGAGAGAGAGAGAAAGCGAACGACACACGCGCGCGUGUGUGUAAGCUCUCGUUAUCACGAGAGAGAUACGCGAAUGACUUUUGCUCGGCUUGUUGGAACACGUCCGAUCCGCUCGCCGGGGCACGCCGCUGCAAUCUGACAGGAGGUCGUCAUGCGACCAUGGACACCGAGAGCGGCAGUAACAGCGUCAACGUCGGCGACGAGCAAAACCGCGACAGUAACAAACCCGUCCCGCCGAAGCGCGACGGUGCCGCCCACAACAAGCCGCACGACCGACAAGCCGCCCGCGCGCGUAAAAUGAGCGCGAUGCCGGAAGAGGAGGACGUCGCGUCCGACGACACGGACCCGGACGUCAUCAGGAUCGGCCACCAUCAGCGCGAGAAGCGCGGUGAGGCGGAGGCCGAGUGGUCCACGGAGGAGAGGGGUCGCCUGUUGAGCCCGGCCGCUCGAAGAAUCCUCGUCGCCCCGGCGACGAGCAGCAACAACUUCCGCAGGACGAUCGACCGCGACGACAGUCCCGACAGGUGUCCAGCUCGCUGGCAGCAGUCCCGGCUGGCCGAGCAGAGCGAGUCCAGGUCGAGCCCGAGUCGCGACAACGGUACUCAGAGUCCUGGCAGACUCGUGGCGGGCGCGAGACAUCAUCACCGUUGCCCGUGUCUACGCUCGCUGCGGCCCGCUGCGGUCGUUAUGGACGAAUGUCAGCAGCACUGUUCCUGCUACCAUCAGCCGCCCAGCUGGGCUUCCAUCCUGUACGCCGACGUGAACGGCGGUCAAGCCCGCUCAUGCCCCGACGCGGUCUCGAUCAGGUCCCUGGCGUCGAUCGGCCUGGGCUCUUCCGACGGCCGGAAGCUCACGAUACGUAGAGUUCCCACUUCGCCGUCGGAGCUGCUUAACAUGGUACAUCCGCCGCCGUUCGAGGACGAUCUCUCCACGUGCACCAGCUACGAUGACGGGGACGCGGACGACCCGAGCGACUACCGGCAGCCCAGGAGGCCACAUUGGGCGAACAAGGUGCAAUUCGUGCUGGCCUGCAUCGGCUACUCCGUCGGCCUCGGCAACGUCUGGAGAUUUCCCUACCUGUGCUACAAGAGCGGCGGCGGUGUGUUCCUCGUGCCUUACUUUUUAAUACUCAUAGUAUGUGGAGUACCAUUGCUGUACAUGGAGCUCAGCAUCGGACAGUUCACUCGCCGCGGUCCGAUCGGCGCGCUGGGUCAAGUGUGUCCGUUAUUGAAAGGGGCUGGCUUAUCGUCGGUCGUGAUAUCGUUUCUAUUGUCGACCUACCACAAUGUGAUAAUAGCCUACGCAAUUUAUUACUUCUUUGCGGCAUUCCGUGCGGAGCAGCCGUGGUCGCGUUGCGACAACUCGUGGAAUUCACCGCGCUGCUGGCUGCCCAGUUACGGAUCGAUCGAUAAUCGGACUCGGCCGAAUUCGACGAGGACGCCGUCCGAGGAAUUCUUCGACAACAAGGUCCUCCAAAUUAGCAACGGAAUCGAGGAGCCAGGAGUUCUACGAUGGGAGCUCGUGGCGUGCUUGAUCACCGCGUGGAUCAUGGUGUACUUCUCCAUUUGGAAAUCGAUCAAGUCAUCGGCGCAAGUGAGAUAUCUCACGGCGACUCUUCCUUUCCUCCUAAUCGUGGUCUUUCUUACGCGUUCCCUCACGCUGGAAGGUGCCGAGAAAGGCCUGCAGUUCUUCUUCCAUCCACGCUGGGAAUUGCUGGGCGACGCUAAGGUGUGGAUCAACGCCGCGGCGCAGGUCUUCAAUUCUGUGGGCAUCGCCUUCGGAUCGAUGAUCUGCUUCGCCAGCUACAACAGAUUCCACAACACGAUCCUGGUGGACACCGUCGCCGUAUCGCUCAUAAACGCCUUUAGCAGCCUCUUGGUCGGCAUCUUCUCGUUCGCAACGAUCGGCAACAUAGCGCUGGAGCAGAACACAUCCGUCGAGGACGUUCUGACUGACGGACCUGGACUAGUCUUCGUAAUUUAUCCGCAAGCGUUAGUCAAAAUGCCGGCUUCUCAGCUCUGGGCUGUGCUCUUCUUCUUCAUGCUGGUUUGCCUUUCGCUGAACAGCCAAUUCGCCGUGGUGGAGGUGGUCGUCACGUCGAUCCAGGACGGCUUUCCGAACUGGGUGAAGAGGCAUCUUCUCUGUCACGAGAUACUGGUCCUGCUGAUAUGCGUCGUCUCGUUUCUCUUCGGGCUGCCGAAUAUCACGCAGAUCACUAUGCCGCGUCCAUGUCCAUCAUGUUCUUGGCAUUCUUCGAGAUAAUCGCCAUCUCUUGGCUCUACGGCGUGCGUCGGCUCUGCAACAACGUCAAGGAGAUGACCGGCCGCCUGCCGUCGGUGUACUUCCGCUUCUGCUGGUUCCUCGCAGCGCCCCUCCUCAUAAUGGCCGUAUGGGUGUUCAGCUUAAUUGAUUAUGAGCCGCCAACCUACCACAAUGGCGACUACAUAUAUCCAUGGUGGGCAGAGGCGAUCGGAUGGGGCAUCGCGUCUCUCUCCUUGAUUUGCAUUCCCGCUUUUGCCGUUUGCGUACUCGCCAGAGCGGAUGGCAUCACGUUUGCCGAG
Molecule: unclassified non-coding RNA, 2911 nt
Filed under: Harpegnathos saltator (Jerdon's jumping ant)
Lineage: Eukaryota; Metazoa; Arthropoda; Insecta; Hymenoptera; Formicidae
Description: sodium- and chloride-dependent GABA transporter ine, transcript variant X8
Source: RNAcentral